RNAcentral lists this ribosomal RNA (2905 nucleotides) under Escherichia coli. RNAcentral's name for it is "23S ribosomal RNA". It matches the Rfam family "Bacterial large subunit ribosomal RNA". Lineage: Bacteria; Pseudomonadati; Pseudomonadota; Gammaproteobacteria; Enterobacterales; Enterobacteriaceae. The record is from RNAcentral.
GGUUAAGCGACUAAGCGUACACGGUGGAUGCCCUGGCAGUCAGAGGCGAUGAAGGACGUGCUAAUCUGCGAUAAGCGUCGGUAAGGUGAUAUGAACCGUUAUAACCGGCGAUUUCCGAAUGGGGAAACCCAGUGUGAUUCGUCACACUAUCAUUAACUGAAUCCAUAGGUUAAUGAGGCGAACCGGGGGAACUGAAACAUCUAAGUACCCCGAGGAAAAGAAAUCAACCGAGAUUCCCCCAGUAGCGGCGAGCGAACGGGGAGCAGCCCAGAGCCUGAAUCAGUGUGUGUGUUAGUGGAAGCGUCUGGAAAGGCGCGCGAUACAGGGUGACAGCCCCGUACACAAAAAUGCACAUGCUGUGAGACUCGAUGAGUAGGGCGGGACACGUGGUAUCCUGUCUGAAUAUGGGGGGACCAUCCUCCAAGGCUAAAUACUCCUGACUGACCGAUAGUGAACCAGUACCGUGAGGGAAAGGCGAAAAGAACCCCGGCGAGGGGAGUGAAAAAGAACCUGAAACCGUGUACGUACAAGCAGUGGGAGCCUCUUUAUGGGGUGACUGCGUACCUUUUGUAUAAUGGGUCAGCGACUUAUAUUCUGUAGCAAGGUUAACCGAAUAGGGGAGCCGAAGGGAAACCGAGUCUUAACUGGGCGUUAAGUUGCAGGGUAUAGACCCGAAACCCGGUGAUCUAGCCAUGGGCAGGUUGAAGGUUGGGUAACACUAACUGGAGGACCGAACCGACUAAUGUUGAAAAAUUAGCGGAUGACUUGUGGCUGGGGGUGAAAGGCCAAUCAAACCGGGAGAUAGCUGGUUCUCCCCGAAAGCUAUUUAGGUAGCGCCUCGUGAAUUCAUCUCCGGGGGUAGAGCACUGUUUCGGCAAGGGGGUCAUCCCGACUUACCAACCCGAUGCAAACUGCGAAUACCGGAGAAUGUUAUCACGGGAGACACACGGCGGGUGCUAACGUCCGUCGUGAAGAGGGAAACAACCCAGACCGCCAGCUAAGGUCCCAAAGUCAUGGUUAAGUGGGAAACGAUGUGGGAAGGCCCAGACAGCCAGGAUGUUGGCUUAGAAGCAGCCAUCAUUUAAAGAAAGCGUAAUAGCUCACUGGUCGAGUCGGCCUGCGCGGAAGAUGUAACGGGGCUAAACCAUGCACCGAAGCUGCGGCAGCGACACUAUGUGUUGUUGGGUAGGGGAGCGUUCUGUAAGCCUGUGAAGGUGUACUGUGAGGUAUGCUGGAGGUAUCAGAAGUGCGAAUGCUGACAUAAGUAACGAUAAAGCGGGUGAAAAGCCCGCUCGCCGGAAGACCAAGGGUUCCUGUCCAACGUUAAUCGGGGCAGGGUGAGUCGACCCCUAAGGCGAGGCCGAAAGGCGUAGUCGAUGGGAAACAGGUUAAUAUUCCUGUACUUGGUGUUACUGCGAAGGGGGGACGGAGAAGGCUAUGUUGGCCGGGCGACGGUUGUCCCGGUUUAAGCGUGUAGGCUGGUUUUCCAGGCAAAUCCGGAAAAUCAAGGCUGAGGCGUGAUGACGAGGCACUACGGUGCUGAAGCAACAAAUGCCCUGCUUCCAGGAAAAGCCUCUAAGCAUCAGGUAACAUCAAAUCGUACCCCAAACCGACACAGGUGGUCAGGUAGAGAAUACCAAGGCGCUUGAGAGAACUCGGGUGAAGGAACUAGGCAAAAUGGUGCCGUAACUUCGGGAGAAGGCACGCUGAUAUGUAGGUGAAGUCCCUUGCGGAUGGAGCUGAAAUCAGUCGAAGAUACCAGCUGGCUGCAACUGUUUAUUAAAAACACAGCACUGUGCAAACACGAAAGUGGACGUAUACGGUGUGACGCCUGCCCGGUGCCGGAAGGUUAAUUGAUGGGGUUAGCGGUAACGCGAAGCUCUUGAUCGAAGCCCCGGUAAACGGCGGCCGUAACUAUAACGGUCCUAAGGUAGCGAAAUUCCUUGUCGGGUAAGUUCCGACCUGCACGAAUGGCGUAAUGAUGGCCAGGCUGUCUCCACCCGAGACUCAGUGAAAUUGAACUCGCUGUGAAGAUGCAGUGUACCCGCGGCAAGACGGAAAGACCCCGUGAACCUUUACUAUAGCUUGACACUGAACAUUGAGCCUUGAUGUGUAGGAUAGGUGGGAGGCUUUGAAGUGUGGACGCCAGUCUGCAUGGAGCCGACCUUGAAAUACCACCCUUUAAUGUUUGAUGUUCUAACGUUGGCCCCUAAUCGGGGUUGCGGACAGUGUCUGGUGGGUAGUUUGACUGGGGCGGUCUCCUCCUAAAGAGUAACGGAGGAGCACGAAGGUUGGCUAAUCCUGGUCGGACAUCAGGAGGUUAGUGCAAUGGCAUAAGCCAGCUUGACUGCGAGCGUGACGGCGCGAGCAGGUGCGAAAGCAGGUCAUAGUGAUCCGGUGGUUCUGAAUGGAAGGGCCAUCGCUCAACGGAUAAAAGGUACUCCGGGGAUAACAGGCUGAUACCGCCCAAGAGUUCAUAUCGACGGCGGUGUUUGGCACCUCGAUGUCGGCUCAUCACAUCCUGGGGCUGAAGUAGGUCCCAAGGGUAUGGCUGUUCGCCAUUUAAAGUGGUACGCGAGCUGGGUUUAGAACGUCGUGAGACAGUUCGGUCCCUAUCUGCCGUGGGCGCUGGAGAACUGAGGGGGGCUGCUCCUAGUACGAGAGGACCGGAGUGGACGCAUCACUGGUGUUCGGGUUGUCAUGCCAAUGGCACUGCCCGGUAGCUAAAUGCGGAAGAGAUAAGUGCUGAAAGCAUCUAAGCACGAAACUUGCCCCGAGAUGAGUUCUCCCUGACUCCCUGAGAGUCCUGAAGGAACGUUGAAGACGACGACGUUGAUAGGCCGGGUGUGUAAGCGCAGCGAUGCGUUGAGCUAACCGGUACUAAUGAACCGUGAGGCUUAACCUU